RNAcentral lists this ribosomal RNA (88 nucleotides) under Caerostris darwini. Lineage: Eukaryota; Metazoa; Arthropoda; Arachnida; Araneae; Araneidae. The record is from RNAcentral.
AACGGCCAUGCCAUGCUGAAUAUACCGGUUCUCGUUUGAUCACCAAAGUCAAGCAUCAUCGGGCGCGCUCAGUACUUGGGAGGGUGCC